Molecule: ribosomal RNA, 253 nt
Filed under: uncultured bacterium
Lineage: Bacteria
Description: partial 16S ribosomal RNA
Rfam family: Bacterial small subunit ribosomal RNA
Source: RNAcentral
UACAGAGGGCCCAAGCGUUACUGAGAAUCACUGGGGUUAAAGGGUGCGUAGGUGGUCCGUUAAGUUCGUUGUGAAAUCCCUGGGCUCAACCCAGGAAAUGCUUCGAAUACUGGCGGACUUGAGGCUAGUAGGGGUCACUGGAACUGACGGUGGAGCGGUGAAAUGCGUAGAUAUCGUCAGGAACGCCAAUGGUGAAGACAGGUGACUGGGCUAGUUCUGACACUGAGGCACGAAAGCGUGGGGAUCAAACGGG